GCCCAGGUAGCUCAGUCGGUAGAGCAGGGGAUUGAAAAUCCCCGUGUCGGUGGUUCGAUUCCGCCCCUGGGCA
RNAcentral lists this transfer RNA (73 nucleotides) under Myxococcus xanthus. Its description in RNAcentral is "tRNA-Phe(gaa)". It matches the Rfam family "tRNA". Rfam says of the family: Transfer RNA (tRNA) molecules are approximately 80 nucleotides in length. RNAcentral also lists the same sequence under 17 other names. The record is from RNAcentral. Lineage: Bacteria; Pseudomonadati; Myxococcota; Myxococcia; Myxococcales; Myxococcaceae.